Pongo pygmaeus (Bornean orangutan) is the source of this 6284-nucleotide long non-coding RNA. RefSeq lists it as uncharacterized. NCBI's taxonomy places the organism in Eukaryota, Metazoa, Chordata, Mammalia, Primates, Hominidae. The transcript has 4 exons. The record is from RefSeq and is a predicted model, not a curated record.
UUGGGAAGAGCAGGAUAUUCCCUCAACAUUCACCUACGCUUUAGGUUUCUCUAAACAAUUCUUGCUUUUACCAUGUCAUCCUCAAGGGCCAACUCCUUCUCUUUGGUUUUUCUGCACUGCUGUAGACAGGCCAAGUCUCUAGACAACUUAGUUUCUUAAAAACUGUAGGACAAAAAGGAGAAAUAAACAAGAUAAUUUGACUUCCAAUACGUAGUCACAUGUCUUUGGGUUAGGGUUGCAAGAUGUCUCCCUGGAUUGUUUCCAGUCUGACUCUCAAGUUUGGGAAUCCAAAUUUCGGCCCUACCCCUCAGGGGCACCUACAAGGAACAUAAGCUUCCUUGACGUUCACCUUAGAGAGCUGGCACCAGAGUGAAAUGAGCAGCUCCAGUCCACUCUCUGUGAAUUUAGAGCCAUACCUUGUUCUUACAGUUUGCUUGUCCCCCAGCUAUUACUUCCUGUUGAUUAUGCUUUUCAAAUAUGGUUUUAUCCAAGGCAUAGUUUUGGGCCCAGGUGACAUUUCCCCAUCCUGCACUCCAGCUGGAUUCUUCAUUAGCCUCUGCAUUCAUUCCUUAGGGCUGCUGUGAAAGAUGACCACAAACUAGGUGGCUUAAAACACAAAAAUUUAUUCUCUCACAGUUCUGGAGGCUGUAAGUUUGAAACCAAGGUGCCAGCAGGGUUGGUUCCUUCUGGAGCCUAUGAAGGAGGCUUCCAGUGGCUGCCAGCAAUCCCGGCUGCUCUUGGCUUUUAGACACAUGGCUCCAGUGUCUGCCUCCAUCAUCACAUAGCCUUCUUUUCUUCUUUGCAUGUCUUCUCUUCUUAGGAAGACACCAGCCACUGGAUUCAGAGUCUACCCCAAUCCAGUAUGACCGCAUUUUAAGUGGGAACAUUAGCAAAGACUCCAUUUCCAAAUAAGGUUACAUUCUGAGGUGCUGGGUGGACAUGAAUUAUUUCGGGGCAACCAUUCAGCCCAUUGCGGUCUCUCUGCCUUCAGACUCCUCCUUCUACCUGUCCCUGCCAUGGACCCUGUCAUUCUUUUCAACCUUCCUGUAGCGGAAGCGCCCCACCCCUGCUUUUAAGCCCUUCAAAGACUUCCCACUGCCAACAGAAUAAAGUCUUAUCUCUUUAGCUCAACUUAUGAAGACGCACCAUAGUUUGGCCCCUAUGAUCUUUUCUACAUUCCAUUUCUCCAUUUCUCCUACACACUCCCUACCAUCCCUGGGAAAGGUCUUCUAUGUUGUUGAACAUGCUGUGAAUGCUCUUUUCUCCUGCCUCCUCCUGUCUGUUGCUGAGAUGCUCUUUUUCUCGAACACCUGUGUCAUAUAUCUUUCCUUGUUCAUGAGGACGUUUCUAGCCAGCCCAUGUCAAAGGGCUCACCUCUCUCCACAGACCAACCCUAGCCCACACGGUGCACCAUUCCUCAGUCUGUAGUAUGGCUGUCCUCUACUGGUGACAUUUCCAUUUUCCAUUUCCAUUUUACCCAGCGGCAAGCCUGUGUGCUAUACUUCUUUGGGUCCUUGGUUUUGACAAUGGUGUUUGGAACAGGUGGCUUCAUGGUCAAUGAUUUUGUUUGCUGCUGCUGGUGUGAGCAUGCUGAAUUGCUCCAUGCCUGCAGCUCCCUCUAAAGCCGAUGGAGAGCCCUGUGCUGAGAUGAAAUGGGGGGAAAGGAGAAAUUUGUUGCCACUUUGAGAGUCAAAGGCAGUGGUCUUUCCAAGGGAGAGUGAACUAGCAGAAUCACUGCAGGAGAAGCAAAUUCUGGAGGCUGGGAUGCCAACAGGUGCUGUAGGAAAAGUUGUAAAGAUAUAUGUGGGGGAAACAACUGCUCCCAUCCUCCUUGGGAGACAAUUGGCAAACCACGUAGUUGGCAAAGGAUAGGGACUGGGAAGAAAGUAAAAGAGGAGACAGAGUACAAUGAACAGAAUAGAUGCCAAUGGCCUUAUCAGCUUUAACAGAUGAUCUGAAAACUUUAAAGUAACAAGGAAGUUUAUAUUCCCAUAAUUGUUAGUAGUGUCUUUUGCUAGCUCCUCCGAUGUGACAGUGAUUGACCAUUGGCAGCUGGGUCUUCAAACUCUCUUCUAAAAUGUUGCAUCUCUAUGGGGACACAUGAGGAACUUAGUUCUUCUAUCUGGAAGUAGGUGUCCUCUAAGAUUUCUUGUGUUGUGUACUCUGUAUCCCUUUUUUUUUUUUUUUUGACUAUGUCUCAGUUGCAUCAAAGCCCCAUUAACAUUGCCCUUUAGGAUCAAAAAGUAGUCCACCUGAGAAGAAAGAGUAGAGUUUUAGAGAACUGGGGUGAUAAUUCUGGGCAGAUGGCCAAGGUGUGGGCUCCAGGCUGAGCUCACUGACACAUGACAUUGUGUGUUUCAGGUACUGGGACAAAUUUCCAAUGUCAAAAUCUUUGAAGCCACCAGGGCCUUUUUUGUUUUUGUUUUUUGGCUGGGUCUUGGCAGUACUCCUUCAUAUAGUAGUAGGUUCAGAAACUCAGGCUAAGGAAAGCAUCCAGAAAAGAUUGUCUGCCUCUGCAACAGUUUGUGGAUAGCUUGUAAUUGUAGUUCUGAUCUUGUCAAUCUGUCUUAAAACUCUAAAUGUGUGGUCUCACCUGGCUAGAUACAGAAAAUACCUAUCUUCUUAUAGAAGCAGGCAAUCCUCAACCCCAUUAAAAAAUUAUGGUUUCUUGGACAUUCCAUCUAAUAGGAAUGCCAGUUUGCCUCCUGAUAUGUUGCCAGUCUGGCCAUUUCAGCAGUCACUAUUCAGCACUAGAGGAGGAAUUCAGUUAAAGUUCCUUUGUCAGUAAGUCUUCCACACAACAUAUUUGUUUCCAGGUCCUAAUGGUAAUUCCUCAGGAUCUGGAAAAAAAAAAAAAAAAAAAAAAGGAUCAACUCUCACGUUUGAGUUUGUCCCAUUCAUCUGCAUAAAGACUAUCCAUCAGUUUGAAGUGUCUUUUUGAGAAUCAGAAAGGGGAGAGGAUAUAGGGGGCAAAGGAUGUAUUCUUUGAGAUCCUGCUCUUAAGCAGUGAUUCUUCUCUAGCACUCCUUAUUUCUAGAAUUUUCCAGGCAUCUCUAACAAAAGCAAAGUACAAAGAGCAUUUAAUACAAACCAAAACAUGAAAUGAUCUUUUGAUGGUUCAGUGUCAUGGCUGUGACUUGGAAUUUUUCACCACAUUUAAAAAAAAAAAAAAGCCACAUACGCCCAGGUAGUCUCUGCAUCAAGUCUGAUACCAUUGCUCCGAUGUUACGAGGCUGAAGCAGUUGUGGCUGAUUGAUGUCACUCUUCUAGCCAUUUCCUAUUUCCACAGAGAGAGGCCGGGUUAAUCCAACUCCAGUCUAACUUCGGAGGCAUCAAGGAUUCUAGGCAGUGUCUCCCGUGUUUCUUUUUCCAAGUGAAUUCCUGGAGGGAAACAAUGAGGUCCAUGUGUCUUUGCAUCCCCAGGGACCAGCUCAGUAAUGGGCAUACAAGAACACGCUGAAAAAAGUUGUUUUGUUUUUGAACGACAUCGAUUUAAAAGUAGUAAGGUCCUCAUAAAUAUAGGACAUUGUACUCGUGUUUUUCUUCUGAGCAUACAAAUAUUUGCAAUGAGGUUGCACUGCAGAAUCCACAGCCAUUGUGACACCUGUGGCUCUGUGACUUGGAGGCAGAGGAGAUGGAAUGCCGGCGAGAAGAGGAAGAUUGUGGUGUGGAUGCGAGGGAUGAGGGUGAAUUAGUUUCCUACGGCAGCUGUUACAAAUUUACCACAAGAUAAAUGAGUUAAAACAGUACAGAUUUAUUAUCUCACAGUUCUGGAAGACAGAAGUUCAAACUACUGGCAAAGUUCAAAGUGCUGGCAAGGCUGUGCUCCUCAGGAGGCUCUAGAGGAGAACCUUUUUCUUGCCUUUUCCCGUUUCUAGGGGCCACCUGCAUCCUUCGGCUCAUGGCCUCUUCCUCCAUCUUAAAAGCCAGCUUCUUCAAAUUCGUCUCUAAUUCUGACACUACCUCUCUUGCCUCCCUCUCUCACUUAUAGGGGUCCCUGUGAUGACAGUGAGCUCACCCUGAUAAUCGAGGCUAAUCUCCCCAUCUUAGGGUUAGCCUUUAGCAACCUAAAUUCCACCGGCAACUUUAAUUCCCCCCUUGCCAUGCACCGUGACACAUUCACAGGUUCUGGGGAGGAGGGCAUGAGCAUCUUUGUCGGGGCAUUGUUCUGUCCAUCACAGAGAAGCACUCAGAGAUUCUGGACUCCAGUGUCCUCAUUGUACACUUGAGGAAGCUUGGGCUUAGAGGCUUUAUGUUAAUUCCAUCAGUUUUCCCAACAGGAGGAGGAGAAUGUCUGUCCAGGAGCCCUAAUCAAGACUCAGCAGGAGGCUGGUGGCUUCCUUUCCUUCCUUCCAGUUCUUCCUUUGCCUCCUUCUACAUAUGGAGCCCAUCUACAUAUGGGGCCCAUCGCAUUCCUUCUACAUAUGGGGCCCCUCGCAUUUGCACUGACUCAGAUGCUGAGGGGCCAGACUGAAGGGACAGUGGUCAUUGCAUCAAGUCAGAGAAUGGAUCUGACCCAUCUAGUUCUUCCUUCUACAUCUGUGCCUCAUCCCAUUUCCACUGACUCAGAUGCUGAGGGGUCAGACUGAAGGGACAGUGGCCAUUGCAUCAAGUCAGAGAAUGGAUCUGACCCAUCUAGUAGAAGUUUAUUGUUUUGGCAGAAGCACAAGCUCUUAGAGGUGCAGCUGCAGGGUAUGACCUAUUGGGGACAUUGAGCUCAGUGACCAUGGGCCCUGAGAGUCUGAAAUCCUCAAAUUUCUCCCAAAACAAAGUCCAUGUAGGGAAGCCAAAGUGUGAGUCUUACCCUGCUGGUUUACAACUGACUGACAUUUGCUGCCUGGGCAGCUGCUGUGGGUGCCUGGAAACCCUAUUGGACUAGGACUGGCCCCGGCAAAAAACAAGUGUUUCAGCUGCCCAGUGUCCUCUGAGUGGAUGCUGGUGAUUCUGGUAUGGAGCCCAGAUGUAAGGCAGCAGGUGGUCCAGAAGGCACCAGAAGAGGUCUCCUGUCAAGGUCAGGGCCAGACAGGAAGGCACAGGGAACCUACUGCACGAGACUUUCACUUGCAAAGAGCAACCCAUGAUGAGGAGGGAGGAUUCCUGGGGGCGUUGAGUCUCAUCCAUAAGGACACCUUUUCCAAGUUACUUCAUUUUGUAUAGCUGCAUAGUCCCUCACCCUUAUCACUGUACCAAGAGCUGGCAGCUGAACAAGAAUACAUCUUCUGACCAAGAUCCCUUCUGGGACCAAGGACACAAGGACCCAAGACCUUCUUGCUUGGAAAGUGAAUUCCUCAGAAUUGCGAGAUGAUGCCCGUCUUGGAGGAAGAUGACAUGAGGACCCAAAACCUUCUUGCUUGGAAAGUGAAUUCUCAGAACUCCACAAAGACUCCGGUCUUGGAGGAAGACGAGGUGUUGAGAGAUAGCUGGGAUCCCUGAGGAAGGCAGCCCCAGUCUCCGGUGGAGAAUUACGAGGGACCCAAGCAGAUGGUUGGUGGUGGAAACGUCACCUCAGUCUAGUACUAUGGAGUUUCCUUUCACCCCCAACAGCCGAUGGUUUCCAGGGGCGAAGAAUGAAAAGUGAAGCAAGAUGUCUCUACUGUCCAGGUGCAGAUAAGGAAGCAGGGCGCCUGCCACCCCCAAGGAAGAGUCAGUUCAGAAGCACAGCAGCUGCUGGAAACCAAGGAGGUUUCCAGUUCGUUCCUGCUGGGACCUGGCAAGAGUUGCACUGUCAAGGCUGCAAGAGCUCCUGACGGCUUCUGGCACGUACAGACUGGAAUAAGAGAACCUAGCAGAAAUGGAAGCAGAGGCAAGAGGUCUGGAGGCCAGGAAAAUGUCAAUGGCAAGCAGCUAGCAUGAAGACCCCACAGUGUUCUUCCCUCUAGUAGUGUGGUAUUAUUUGGAGCUGAGAUGCUCCCAAUAUGGUUGGGACAUUUGUCCCCUCCAAAUCUCAUGUGAGAAUUUGAUCCCCCGUUUUGGGGAUGGGGUCUAAUGGGAGGAGUUUUGGUCAUGAUGGGGGACCCCUCAUGAAUGGCUUGGUGCCCUGCUCACCAGGAGUGAAUGAGCUCUCACUCUACUAGUUCACUGGAGAGCUGGCUGUUUAAAGAGCCUGGCAUCUCCCCCACUUUCUCUCUUGCUCCCCCUUCUCACUGUGAUAUACCUGCUCCCCUUUGCCAUCCAUCAUGAGUGGAAGCUUCUUGAAGCCUCCACCUAAAGCAGAUGCUGACACUAUGCUUCCUGUACAGCCUGCCAUACCAUGAGCCAAAAUAAACCUGUUUUCUUUGCAAAUU